ACAAGGGUCUGCACUCCCCUUUCUCCUACAUACUCCAAAUUGAGAAAACCCUAACCCAUCUACAAAAACUACAGCCGCCACCUACAACACCUGCAACCCCACCCUCUUCCUUCGAUCUGUGUAAACGACCACCACCACCACCACCGUCUGGUGGUGGCGCGACGACGAAACAGAGAAUCGGAAGAGACGACAAGAGAGAGAGAGGGGGGUAAUAGGCUGUAGUUCGACGGCGUACGACGGCGGUGGAGUCGUCUACAGCGGCGACGGUGGCGGGGUUUUAUUUCAUUCCAUCAGGGUCGUCGGUUCAGGUCAGAUUUACGCUCAACAGCGGAUUAAAAUUCAUGGCUCGGGUCUCAACAUCAGUUGGUUCAAGCUUCAGGUGGUUCACUCCGGUUCGGGUUCGUCCGAGUUUAGUUUCAUUCGGUUUCGACUAGCAUCGGCCCAGGUGGUUUGGUGCUUGUUUGUUUUCGGGUCUCGGUCAAAACGGGUCAGUGGUGGUGCUUGGCCCGGGUUUCAUCUUGGUUCACAUUAGGUCACGGUUCGAGUACGAGUAGUUCCAGUUCCGGGUCAGCAGCGGUUCGGAUGUCGGUUCAGUUUCGAGUCUCGGUUCAAAACUGGUGCGACUAGUUUCGGCUCGAGUCACACCAGUGGGCUCAGUUCGCAACGGAAAUCAUCUCUAUGUUUCGGGCGAUUUGGUCAUUUGCCUCACCUCGUAUGCUCGUGCGGUAAUUCUCGUGGAUUGUUUCCUACGUAACCAGAGUUUUGAUGAUGCAAGGAAUCUAGUAGGACUGCCUAGAAACACAUUUAAACUCUAAUACUUGUUGUACUAUGUCUUAUUUUCAAACAUGUAGUAAUUGUUUCCAAUCUUUGUAUGAGACCAUUACUCAAUGAAAUGAAAUGAAACUUAAUUAGUUGUAUGCUAUUUAUUUCAAA
Helianthus annuus (common sunflower) is the source of this 933-nucleotide long non-coding RNA. RefSeq lists it as uncharacterized. The transcript is spliced from 3 exons. The record is from RefSeq and is a predicted model, not a curated record. NCBI's taxonomy places the organism in Eukaryota, Viridiplantae, Streptophyta, Magnoliopsida, Asterales, Asteraceae.